RNAcentral lists this ribosomal RNA (300 nucleotides) under uncultured Pyrobaculum sp. Its description in RNAcentral is "bacterial SSU rRNA". It matches the Rfam family "Bacterial small subunit ribosomal RNA", at positions 494 to 795 of the family's 1533-position model. Lineage: Archaea; Thermoproteati; Thermoproteota; Thermoprotei; Thermoproteales; Thermoproteaceae. The record is from RNAcentral.
CGGGACGACGUUCGAGCGGGCGCGGUAAGACGUGUGGUGCGGGAGGUAAUCGGAAUUACUGGGCGUAAGGCGUGCGCGUGCGGUUUGGUAAGGCAGGCGUGAAAGCCACGGGCUUAACCUGGGAACUGCGCUUGUGACUGCCAGGGUAGAGGACGGCAGAGGGGGGUGUAAUUCCACGUGUAGCAGUGAAAUGCGUAGAGAUGUGGAGGAACACCAAUGGCGAAGGCAGCCCCCUGGGUCGAUACUGUCGCUCAUGCACGAAAGCGUGGGUAGCAAACAGGAUUAGAUACCCCAGUAGUC